AUCACUUCUCUGUCUUUUGGCUAAGAUCAAGUGUAGUAUCUGUUCUUAUCAGUUUAAUAUCUAAUACAUCAUCUAUCCAACAAAAAUAUAUUAAAUGGAUUUUUGACAUCAGGAAAUGGAAUAGGAACUUGCUCCAUCCAUGCCAUGCAUCGACCUGGUAUUGCAGUACCUCCAGAAAUGGUACACCAAGG
Molecule: small nuclear RNA, 191 nt
Organism: Suncus etruscus (white-toothed pygmy shrew)
Lineage: Eukaryota; Metazoa; Chordata; Mammalia; Eulipotyphla; Soricidae
Product: U2 spliceosomal RNA
Exons: 1
Source: RefSeq, a predicted model, not a curated record